AGCUUCAUGGCGUAAUGGAAGCGCGCCGGUCUUGUAUAACCCGGAGGACCUCCGAUCGAAACGGAGUGGAGCUA
This 74-nucleotide transfer RNA is filed under the name Hypoxylon sp. FL1150. RNAcentral describes it as "tRNA-Thr". It matches the Rfam family "tRNA". From Rfam's summary of the family: Transfer RNA (tRNA) molecules are approximately 80 nucleotides in length. Their secondary structure includes four short double-helical elements and three loops (D, anti-codon, and T loops). Further hydrogen bonds mediate the characteristic L-shaped molecular structure. tRNAs have two regions of fundamental functional importance: the anti-codon, which is responsible for specific mRNA codon recognition, and the 3' end, to which the tRNAs corresponding amino acid is attached (by aminoacyl-tRNA synthetases). tRNAs cope with the degeneracy of the genetic code in two manners: having more than one tRNA (with a specific anti-codon) for a particular amino acid; and 'wobble' base-pairing, i.e. permitting non-standard base-pairing at the 3rd anti-codon position. The record is from RNAcentral. Lineage: Eukaryota; Fungi; Ascomycota; Sordariomycetes; Xylariales; Hypoxylaceae.